AUACGAUAACGGCAAAAUAUUUGAAAAAGUAUGACGCAAAGCUACGGAUCUAAGGAGUCUCCCACUCUAUGACCGCCGAGCUACCUAU
This 88-nucleotide non-coding RNA is filed under the name Halolactibacillus miurensis. RNAcentral describes it as "GEMM cis-regulatory element". It matches the Rfam family "c-di-GMP-I riboswitch aptamer". Rfam says of the family: GEMM was predicted in a large-scale screen for bacterial structured RNA regulatory elements. Genes associated with GEMM are involved in a diverse array of functions, including chemotaxis regulation, signal transduction, secretion and chitin. Lineage: Bacteria; Bacillati; Bacillota; Bacilli; Caryophanales; Bacillaceae. The record is from RNAcentral.